Molecule: ribosomal RNA, 403 nt
Filed under: Chloroflexota bacterium
Lineage: Bacteria; Bacillati; Chloroflexota
Description: Chloroflexi bacterium partial 16S ribosomal RNA
Rfam family: Bacterial small subunit ribosomal RNA
Source: RNAcentral
UGGGGAAUUUUGCACAAUGGGGGAAACCCUGAUGCAGCGACGCCGCGUGAUUUAGAAGGCCUUCGGGUUGUAAAAAUCUUUUCUAUGGGAAGAAAAUGACAGUACCAUAGGAAUAAGGACCGGCUAAUUACGUGCCAGCAGCCGCGGUAAUACGUAGGUGGCAAGCGUUGUCCGGAUUUAUUGGGCGUAAAGCGAGCGCAGGCGGUUUCUUAAGUCUGAUGUGAAAGCCCCCGGCUCAACCGGGGAGGGUCAUUGGAAACUGGGAGACUUGAGUGCAGAAGAGGAGAGUGGAAUUCCAUGUGUAGCGGUGAAAUGCGUAGAUAUAUGGAGGAACACCAGUGGCGAAGGCGGCUCUCUGGUCUGUAACUGACGCUCAGGUGCGAAAGCGUGGGGAGCAAACAGG